Molecule: ribosomal RNA, 471 nt
Filed under: uncultured bacterium
Lineage: Bacteria
Description: partial 16S ribosomal RNA
Rfam family: Bacterial small subunit ribosomal RNA
Source: RNAcentral
ACGAACGCUGGCGGCGUGCUUAACACCUGCCAGUCGAACGCUGAAGCUUGGUGCUUGCACUGGGUGGAUGAGUGGCGAACGGGUGAGUAAUACGUGAGUAACCUGCCCUUGACUCUGGGAUAAGCCUGGGAAACUGGGUCUAAUACUGGAUACGACAUGUCACCGCAUGGUGGUGUGUGGAAAGGGUUUUACUGGUUUUGGAUGGGCUCACGGCCUAUCAGCUUGUUGGUGGGGUAAUGGCUCACCAAGGCGACGACGGGUAGCCGGCCUGAGGGGGUGACCGGCCACACUGGGACUGAGACACGGCCCAGACUCCUACGGGAGGCAGCAGUGGGGAAUAUUGCACAAUGGGCGGAAGCCUGAUGCAGCGACGCCGCGUGAGGGAUGACGGCCUUCGGGUUGUAAACCUCUUUCAGCACGGAAGAAGCGAAAGUGACGGUACGUGCAGAAGAAGCGCCGGCUAACUACGUG